UUUACAUACCAUUUGACAUUUUUUUGUUUCUUUUGCUGAGAUACUAUUAUUUCUUCAACAUCAGUUUUCGUAUUAGCCAAAAAACGUAAUAAAUCAUAUUUUUCAUCACCAAUAGGCAUAAGGUCUACACGAUUCACUGAUUUGUUAAUGGCGCUUUUCUUAAAACGAAACCGUUUACGUUUUAUCUGACUGACAACUGGCUCCUCCGUUUUAGGCAUUCUACCUCCUGUUUGGUUUAACGGAUGAUGGUUGGCAACAUGGGUGAAUAAAGAAUCAACAUCAUCAAAGGAGACAUCACAGUGUCUACAUAAAAAUGCUACCCAAUGUCUUCCUGGUAAGCCUGCGACAUCUGUAUUGGCUAUCACACCCAUUCCUGGUAGUAGGUGAACUUGAGACAGUUCAUCAGAUGAGAAUACACCAAGAACAGAUCGUUGUAAGUCAACGUCUGAAACAAUGGCACACUUGAGCUGGAACAUAAUGCGGAACUUCGAAAAUGUUUGACCAGUUUCCCAUAGAGGCUGCACUUAACCUUCGAAGAAGUGGCUUUUGUUCUCCAUCGACAAUAGAUUCACCACAAAUAUUAGAAUACAGAACCUGAAUCCACAGAUACUUUGAAAAGAUAUCCACGACGACUAAUAGGUAUCGAAACUGACCGUUUUCACUUGCAAUGUUUGACAUAUCAGCGAGGUCCAUGUCCCACUGAUCAUCAAUUCCAGAUACAAUUACACGUGCAUGACGAAAAGAAUGACGGAGUUCCUUUCUUAAAGUGUAACUGUCUUGACUUCGUAAUAGUCUUUUUAUCCUGGAUCGUCCAACAUUAGUGAUUCCUUUGGAUUUUAAUAUUCUGUAUAUUUUUUCGGGACCUACAUGUGUGUUUUUAUAUGUGUUUGAUAUUAAAUCAUUUAUUCUAU
Molecule: long non-coding RNA, 911 nt
Organism: Mytilus californianus (California mussel)
Lineage: Eukaryota; Metazoa; Mollusca; Bivalvia; Mytilida; Mytilidae
Exons: 4
Source: RefSeq, a predicted model, not a curated record